GCCCCACUUGUCUAAUGGCUAUGACGUCAGACUUCUAAUCUGGAGGUUGCGGGUUCGAGUCCCGCGUGGGGUU
RNAcentral lists this transfer RNA (73 nucleotides) under Cylindrobasidium torrendii FP15055 ss-10. RNAcentral's name for it is "tRNA-Arg (TCT) (tRNA-Arg-TCT-2-1)". It matches the Rfam family "tRNA". From Rfam's summary of the family: Transfer RNA (tRNA) molecules are approximately 80 nucleotides in length. Their secondary structure includes four short double-helical elements and three loops (D, anti-codon, and T loops). The record is from RNAcentral. Lineage: Eukaryota; Fungi; Basidiomycota; Agaricomycetes; Agaricales; Physalacriaceae.